RNAcentral lists this ribosomal RNA (332 nucleotides) under uncultured Bacillota bacterium. Its description in RNAcentral is "bacterial SSU rRNA". It matches the Rfam family "Bacterial small subunit ribosomal RNA", at positions 28 to 348 of the family's 1533-position model. Lineage: Bacteria; Bacillati; Bacillota. The record is from RNAcentral.
GACGAACGCUGGCGGCGUGCCUAACACAUGCAAGUCGAACGGAAAAAUCAGCAAUGAUUUUUAGUGGCGAACGGGUGAGUAACGCGUAGACAACCUGCCUCGUAGAUGGGGACAACACUGCGAAAGUGGUGCUAAUACCGAAUGAAGUAUUUCGUGCGCAUGCACAAAAUACCAAAGGUGGCCUCUAUAUAUAAGCUACCACUAUGAGAGGGGUCUGCGUCUGAUUAGCUAGUUGGUGGGGUAAUGGCUCACCAAGGCGACGAUCAGUAGCCGGUCUGAGAGGAUGAACGGCCACACUGGGACUGAGACACGGCCCAGACUCCUACGGGAGG